Molecule: long non-coding RNA, 561 nt
Organism: Perognathus longimembris pacificus (Pacific pocket mouse)
Lineage: Eukaryota; Metazoa; Chordata; Mammalia; Rodentia; Heteromyidae
Exons: 3
Source: RefSeq, a predicted model, not a curated record
AAGCUCUUUGCCCAUUUAUUAAUUGGGUUGUUGAUUCUAUUUUUUUUUACCCUUGAGUAGUUGUACAAAGGGGAUAGUUGGUAGAUAAAUUGCAUAUCUCAAACUGGGCUGUUACAUAAACUUUGGUCAGAUUAUGUUGCACAAUGAAUUUAUUACUCAGUGAGAUGCUAGUUUGAGCCCCUAAUAUAGGCCAUCUCUUGGUGAUUUAGGUAAGUCAUUUUCUGAGACAAGUUUAUAUGUUAAGUUUGAGACUAUAAUGUUUUCUUCCUUUCCAUUAUGAUUCAAUCCUAAUUAUCACUUUGGGGAUAUGGAUUUUUAACUUCUAUUAGCUAACUAUUUUGGGGGUAUAUGAGGUUAGAUUCUAUAAGUCUAUGUCCUUCAUGAUCUGUCUUAAUCACUUUAUAUUUGUUAUCUAUUCUUGUAUAAUAAACCAUCUGAAUACAUACAUAAGUACCUAAAAGAAUAAAUUUACAAUUUAUCAUAAUUUUAUCUUUUGGCCAGAUUCAGUUUGCAGUUCUGAGUCUUGGUGGGGUCGGCUCCUUUGUGGAGACUUGGUAUUGG